UACACGAGCGGCGAACGGGUGAGUAACACGUGGGUGAUCUGCCUCGCACUUCGGGAUAAGCCUGGGAAACUGGGUCUAAUACCGGAUAUGACCUUUCAGUGCAUGCUGUUGGGUGGAAAGAUUUAUCGGUGCGAGAUGGGCCCGCGGCCUAUCAGCUUGUUGGCGGGGUAACGGCCCACCAAGGCGACGACGGGUAGCCGACCUGAGAGGGUGACCGGCCACACUGGGACUGAGACACGGCCCAGACUCCUACGGGAGGCAGCAGUGGGGAAUAUUGCACAAUGGGCGAAAGCCUGAUGCAGCGACGCCGCGUGAGGGAUGACGGCCUUCGGGUUGUAAACCUCUUUCGACAGGGACGAAGCGCAAGUGACGGUACCUGUAGAAGAAGCACCGGCCAACUACGUGCCAGCAGCCGCGGUAAUACGUAGGGUGCGAGCGUUGUCCGGAAUUACUGGGCGUAAAGAGCUUGUAGGCGGUUUGUCGCGUCGUCCGUGAAAACUUGGGGCUCAACCCCAAGCUUGCGGGCGAUACGGGCAGACUUGAGUACUUCAGGGGAGACUGGAAUUCCUGGUGUAGCGGUGAAAUGCGCAGAUAUCAGGAGGAACACCGGUGGCGAAGGCGGGUCUCUGGGAAGUAACUGACGCUGAGAAGCGAAAGCGUGGGUAGCGAACAGGAUUAGAUACCCUGGUAGUCCACGCCGUAAACGGUGGGUACUAGGUGUGGGUUUCCUUCCACGGGAUCCGUGCCGUAGCUAACGCAUUA
This 762-nucleotide ribosomal RNA is filed under the name Nocardia sp. RNAcentral's name for it is "bacterial SSU rRNA". It matches the Rfam family "Bacterial small subunit ribosomal RNA", at positions 88 to 862 of the family's 1533-position model. Lineage: Bacteria; Bacillati; Actinomycetota; Actinomycetes; Mycobacteriales; Nocardiaceae. The record is from RNAcentral.